RNAcentral lists this long non-coding RNA (1389 nucleotides) under Canis lupus dingo (dingo). RNAcentral's name for it is "lncRNA (ENSCAFG00020021676.1)". Lineage: Eukaryota; Metazoa; Chordata; Mammalia; Carnivora; Canidae. The record is from RNAcentral.
GUAUGCACUGCGAAGCCGAGUUUCGCCCCACAGGUGGCCUCAACAGGUGCGCGGCAGGUCCUUGAGCGCCGCCCCCAUCGCAGUGUCCCCCGAGCCCCGUCCACUGGCCUCCGUGACCCGCGGCCACACUCCCGCACGGGCUGCCGGUCCGCGCGCCGCGGAGCCGGGAGGGGGCCCGGCAGGUGUCCGCCCUCGGGGCCGCCCGCCGCCGGGCCGCGCAUCGCGCCUGCGCCCCGCGCCUGCGCACAACCCCCCCGCCGGCGCUCCGCGGGGGGCGGGGCCGCGGGAGAGGGAGCUGCGGGGGCACGGGCCGAGGCCUGCAGUUACCCGGAUGUGGUCGCCGUGCGCGCAUGCUCCGUGGCCUCCCGACAAGUUGGCAGCAACAACACGGCCCUGGUCGUCGUCGCCGCUGCGCUAGCGGAGCGGCUCGGGUGGCGGGGCCCGCGUUGGCGCCCGCGCGCCGUCCUCGGGAGGCCUUGCCCGCCGGUCCUUCAGCGGCGCGGCCGCCCGGCGGCGGGAGCGGCUAGGGGAGCCGGGCGCCCCGCGACCGAGGGCCCCCCCCGCGGGGCGGCCCGGGAGCUCGAGGCGGCCGGCGGGCGGCGGCGGCGGCGGCGGCGAGGAGGGGCGGGGGCGCGGGGGGAGCGGUGGCCCGCGGACGGGCGGCGGCGGCGGCGGCGGCGGCGGCGGCGGCGGCGGCGGCGGCGGCGGCGGAGCCCAGGUAACGGCCCCGUGCCCUCCCCUUCCCCGGCCGGGCCCGCGCCCCCCCACCCCCGGGCUUCCCCGCCCCGGGGCGGGCUCGGGCGGCCGGUGCGUGCGUGUGCGCGUGCGCGUGCGUGUGCGCGGGGGGCGGGGCGGGGGCCGGGGGGCGGGGGGCCUCGCGCCUCGCGUCCCGGGCCCAGCGCCCCCGCGCCUCCGCGCCCCCGCGCCCGCCGCGGCUCCCCUGCCGUCGCCGUCGGUCUUUGUUGCUCCGAGGACUUGCGCCCGCCGCCCCCGCCGAGCGCGCCCGAAGUUUCCCGUCUCGGGGACACGUCGGUGCCGCCUUUGUCCUCCACUUUCCCUUCCUGCCGGGGCCGCUCCGGCGCUCGCCUCGGCCUGCGCUGGGCGCUCUCGCGGCUCGGGAGCGGGCGGGCGGCGGGGGGGAGCCCUCCCGCUGACCUGCGCGCGCCCCUCCCCCGCACCCCUCCAUCCCUCCCCCCUCUCCUGAUGAGCACCCGGCCGCCCCCCCAGCCUCCAUCCCUCCACCUCUCCACCCCGCCCCUCCACUCCACCUCUCACCCCCCCAUCCCUCCACCCCCCACCCUUCCACCCCUCCACCCCUCAAUCCUUCCCCUAAUCAGCUCCCGGCCGCCCCCCACCCCACCCCACCCCACCCCACCCCACUCCCAAUGA